RNAcentral lists this ribosomal RNA (449 nucleotides) under uncultured bacterium. Its description in RNAcentral is "bacterial SSU rRNA". It matches the Rfam family "Bacterial small subunit ribosomal RNA", at positions 28 to 457 of the family's 1533-position model. The record is from RNAcentral.
GAUGAACGCUGGCGGCGUGCUUAACACAUGCAAGUCGAACGAAGCUGCUUAACUGAUCUUCUUCGGAAUUGACGUUUUGUAGACUGAGUGGCGGACGGGUGAGUAACGCGUGGGUAACCUGCCCUGUACAGGGGGAUAACAGUCAGAAAUGACUGCUAAUACCGCAUAAGACCACAGCACCGCAUGGUGCAGGGGUAAAAACUCCGGUGGUACAGGAUGGACCCGCGUCUGAUUAGCUGGUUGGUGAGGUAACGGCUCACCAAGGCGACGAUCAGUAGCCGGCUUGAGAGAGUGAACGGCCACAUUGGGACUGAGACACGGCCCAAACUCCUACGGGAGGCAGCAGUGGGGAAUAUUGCACAAUGGGGGAAACCCUGAUGCAGCGACGCCGCGUGAGUGAAGAAGUAUCUCGGUAUGUAAAGCUCUAUCAGCAGGGAAGAAAAUGACGG